This 994-nucleotide ribosomal RNA is filed under the name uncultured bacterium. RNAcentral's name for it is "bacterial SSU rRNA". It matches the Rfam family "Bacterial small subunit ribosomal RNA", at positions 538 to 1532 of the family's 1533-position model. The record is from RNAcentral.
GCGUUAAUNGGAAUUACUGGGCGUAAAGCGUGCGUAGGUGGUUUAGUAAGUCAGAUGUGAAAGCCCUGGGCUUAACCUGGGAACUNCAUUUGAAACUGCUGAACUAGAGUGUGGUAGAGGGAAGUGGAAUUCCGGGUGUAGCGGUGAAAUGCGUAGAUAUCCGGAGGAACACCAGUGGCGAAGGCGACUUCCUGGACCAACACUGACGCUGAGGUACGAAAGCGUGGGUAGCAAACAGGAUUAGAUACCCUGGUAGUCCACGCCGUAAACGAUGUCAACUAGUUGUUGGGAGCAUCUUGGCUCUUAGUAACGUAGCUAACGCGAUAAGUUGACCGCCUGGGGAGUACGGCCGCAAGGUUAAAACUCAAAGGAAUUGACGGGGGCCCGCACAAGCGGUGGAGCAUGUGGUUUAAUUCGGUGCAACGCGAAGAACCUUACCCGGGCUAAAUCCACGAUGACCGGUCCCGAAACGGACCUUCCCUUCGGGGCAUCAUGGAAGGUGCUGCAUGGCCGUCGUCAGCUCGUGCCGUGAGGUGUUGCCUUAAGUGGCGCAACGAGCGCAACCCCUGUGGUUAGUUACCAGCACGUUAUGGUGGGGAUUCUAGCCAGACUGCCUACGCAAGUAGUGAGGAAGGUGGGGACGACGUCAAGUCAUCAUGGCCCUUAUGUCCGGGGCUGCACACGUGCUACAAUGGAUGGUACAGAGGGAAGCCACCACGCAAGUGGGCGCAGAUCUCGAAAGCCAUUCCCAGUUCGGAUUGGAGUCUGCAACUCGACUCCAUGAAGGUGGAAUCGCUAGUAAUCGCGUAUCAGCAACGACGCGGUGAAUACGUUCCCGGGCCUUGUACACACCGCCCGUCAAGCGAUGGAAGUCAGGAGUACCUGAUGUCGCCGUGCCAACCUUCGGGGGGCAGGUGCCUAGGGUAAGCUUGGUAACUGGCGCUAAGUCGUAACAAGGUAGCCGUACCGGAAGGUGCGGCUGGAUCACCUCCUU